This 600-nucleotide ribosomal RNA is filed under the name Escherichia coli. RNAcentral describes it as "bacterial SSU rRNA". It matches the Rfam family "Bacterial small subunit ribosomal RNA", at positions 41 to 632 of the family's 1533-position model. The record is from RNAcentral. Lineage: Bacteria; Pseudomonadati; Pseudomonadota; Gammaproteobacteria; Enterobacterales; Enterobacteriaceae.
GGGGGGCGCUACCAUGCAGUCGAACGGUAACAGGAAGCAGCUUGCUGCUUUGCUGACGAGUGGCGGACGGGUGAGUAAUGUCUGGGAAACUGCCUGAUGGAGGGGGAUAACUACUGGAAACGGUAGCUAAUACCGCAUAACGUCGCAAGACCAAAGAGGGGGACCUUAGGGCCUCUUGCCAUCGGAUGUGCCCAGAUGGGAUUAGCUAGUAGGUGGGGUAACGGCUCACCUAGGCGACGAUCCCUAGCUGGUCUGAGAGGAUGACCAGCCACACUGGAACUGAGACACGGUCCAGACUCCUACGGGAGGCAGCAGUGGGGAAUAUUGCACAAUGGGCGCAAGCCUGAUGCAGCCAUGCCGCGUGUAUGAAGAAGGCCUUCGGGUUGUAAAGUACUUUCAGCGGGGAGGAAGGGAGUAAAGUUAAUACCUUUGCUCAUUGACGUUACCCGCAGAAGAAGCACCGGCUAACUCCGUGCCAGCAGCCGCGGUAAUACGGAGGGUGCAAGCGUUAAUCGGAAUUACUGGGCGUAAAGCGCACGCAGGCGGUUUGUUAAGUCAGAUGUGAAAUCCCCGGGCUCAACCUGGGAACUGCAUCUGAUA